UUUUCCAUCUAUCAGUGAAAACAUUCAACAUUUUUCUUCCUUAUUAAGAAUGGUAUUAAAAAAAGCUUAUGUGAGAGAAAAUAAAAUUUGAUUUUCAAGUUGUCAAAAAACAUCAUAAUAAAAUGCCAGGAAACAAAAUGGCCAACAUAAACUGUUACAGGAACUUUCACAGCUGUAAGCAGCUGUGGCUCUAGUAAGGCAACUCCUUUCAUUAUCAUUUCUUCCAUCUGGUUUAUUUUCUCCUUACUUUAAUUGUACAUGCAUUCUGGCACACAAAUAAUCACUUGAUUUUUUGGGGAAGGGGGGUCAUGAGAGCAAUUGUAGGCAUGUACCCACAGCUUUAUUUUAUUCUGUCUCCUUGGUAGAGAAAGCAAGAAUUUUAUAAUAAAAUAACUGCUUACUAGACUUAGACUUAAUUCCUGUCCCCUGCCCCCAGAAUAUCUGCAUCAUGGACUUUAUUUGAUUACACAGCUAUGGACUCCAUUCUGGUGACCUUCAGUGGCAAGGUUCUGAGGAAGAAGAGGCUGACUUCUUCCCAGGAGUGGGGGAGAGGAGAAAAUGCAAGGAAGUAAUGCUCUUCUAAAGCCGAGUAGAACCACGUAGCCAUGGUUUCCAACUGCACAAGCAUCCCUCAGGAUCCUAAACAUCCCCCUUCCAGCCCUGUCAUAAAGGAAAUAAUACAGAGAACAAGGGGAAGGUGAACUGCUGAAAGGAAGCAGGUCUUGAGGUAUGAGGAAUGGAAGUAUUCCCAGUUGGGCCUGUCUGCCUUUAAAAAGACAAUGAUUACUUCCAAAGACUGGAUUGCUGAUGGUGCCACU
Molecule: non-coding RNA, 818 nt
Organism: Castor canadensis (American beaver)
Lineage: Eukaryota; Metazoa; Chordata; Mammalia; Rodentia; Castoridae
Source: RefSeq, a predicted model, not a curated record